GAUGAACGCUAGCUACAGGCUUAACACAUGCAAGUCGAGGGGAAACGGCAUCGAAAGCUUGCUUUUGAUGGGCGUCGACCGGCGCACGGGUGAGUAACGCGUAUCCAACCUGCCCAUCACUUGGGAAUAACCUUGCGAAAGUAAGACUAAUGCCCAAUGACAUCCCACGAAGGCAUCCGAAUGGGAUUAAAGAUUUAUCGGUGAUGGAUGGGGAUGCGUCUGAUUAGCUUGUUGGCGGGGUGACGGCCCACCAAGGCAACGAUCAGUAGGGGUUCUGAGAGGAAGGUCCCCCACAUUGGAACUGAGACACGGUCCAAACUCCUACGGGAGGCAGCAGUGAGGAAUAUUGGUCAAUGGGCGAGAGCCUGAACCAGCCAAGUAGCGUGCAGGAUGACGGCCCUAUGGGUUGGAAACUGCUUUUAUAAGGGAAUAAAGUGGGUCACGUGUGACUUUUUGCAUGUACCUUAUGAAUAAGGACCGGCUAAUUCCGU
RNAcentral lists this ribosomal RNA (491 nucleotides) under uncultured bacterium. RNAcentral's name for it is "partial 16S ribosomal RNA". It matches the Rfam family "Bacterial small subunit ribosomal RNA", at positions 28 to 506 of the family's 1533-position model. The record is from RNAcentral.